AUUGAACGCUGGCGGCAUGCCUUACACAUGCAAGUCGAACGGCAGCAUGAUCUAGCUUGCUAGAUUGAUGGCGAGUGGCGAACGGGUGAGUAAUACAUCGGAACGUGCCCUGUAGUGGGGGAUAACUAGUCGAAAGAUUAGCUAAUACCGCAUACGACCUGAGGGUGAAGGUGGGGGACCGCAAGGCCUCAUGCUUUAGGAUCGGCCGAUGUCUGAUUAGCUAGUUGGUGAGGUAAAGGCUAACCAAGGCGACGAUCAGUAGCUGGUCUGAGAGGACGAUCAGCCACACUGGGACUGAGACACGGCCCAGACUCCUACGGGAGGCAGCAGUGGGGAAUUUUGGACAAUGGGCGAAAGCCUGAUCCAGCAAUGCCGCGUGUGUGAAGAAGGCCUUCGGGUUGUAAAGCACUGUUGUCAGGAAAGAAAUGGCUCUUGUUAAUACCUGGGGUCGAUGACGGUACCGGAAGAAUAAGGACCGGCUAACUACGUG
This 490-nucleotide ribosomal RNA is filed under the name uncultured bacterium. RNAcentral describes it as "partial 16S ribosomal RNA". It matches the Rfam family "Bacterial small subunit ribosomal RNA", at positions 30 to 507 of the family's 1533-position model. The record is from RNAcentral.